This 435-nucleotide ribosomal RNA is filed under the name uncultured bacterium. RNAcentral describes it as "partial 16S ribosomal RNA". It matches the Rfam family "Bacterial small subunit ribosomal RNA", at positions 28 to 507 of the family's 1533-position model. The record is from RNAcentral.
GAUGAACGCUGGCGGUAUGCUUAACACAUGCAAGUCGAACGGACUCUUCGGAGUUAGUGGCGGACGGGUGAGUAACGCGUGAGAAUCUGGCUUUGGGUUCGGGACAACCACUGGAAACGGUGGCUAAUACCGGAUGUGCCGAGAGGUAAAAGAGAAAUUGCCUGAAGAUGAGCUCGCGUCUGAUUAGCUAGUUGGUGAGGUAAAGGCUCACCAAGGCAGCGAUCAGUAGCUGGUCUGAGAGGAUGACCAGCCACACUGGGACUGAGACACGGCCCAGACUCCUACGGGAGGCAGCAGUGGGGAAUUUUCCGCAAUGGGCGAAAGCCUGACGGAGCAAUACCGCGUGAGGGAAGAAGGCUCUUGGGUUGUAAACCUCUUUUCUUAGGGAAGAACAAAGUGACGGUACCUAAGGAAUCAGCAUCGGCUAACUCCGUG